UACAACUCCAGAGCUCAACAGAAGCCCCGUUAUGCCCCAUACUCGGGAGGGCAUACCCAUCACACUCAUGGAGGACAUAAUCAUGGAGGACAUAACCAUGGACGGAAUGGGAACAACCGCAACCACGACAACAACUCCAAGUCAGGCAAUGGAGGCAAUGGCAACCAGCAUCGUCCUGCCCCGGCUCAGAAGGAUCUGAGUCACAUCACCUGUUUCAAGUGCCAGAAGACAGGGCACUAUGCCACCGACUACCCGGAGGCUAAGCAUAGGAAUGGAAACAAUAAUGGCAAUGGAAGCUCAGCAAAGAAGCCCAACCCUUUUCCUCGUGCACAGGUGAAUCACAUUGACGUGGAGGACGUCUAUGAUCAGCCAUAA
Molecule: ribosomal RNA, 375 nt
Filed under: Triticum aestivum (bread wheat)
Lineage: Eukaryota; Viridiplantae; Streptophyta; Magnoliopsida; Poales; Poaceae
Description: partial small subunit ribosomal RNA
Source: RNAcentral